Molecule: long non-coding RNA, 429 nt
Filed under: Cricetulus griseus (Chinese hamster)
Lineage: Eukaryota; Metazoa; Chordata; Mammalia; Rodentia; Cricetidae
Description: lncRNA (ENSCGRG00015038575.1)
Source: RNAcentral
CGUUCCUGCUCCAGCAGCACAAUAUGAUCCACCGGCAAGGAGAGAUGCCAAUAAGGCGUCCGAUAAGAUAAUCUGUGACAGAUCAUCUGGAUUUACAGUUGCACUGUCCUGGUAACAGCAACAUAUGCAUCUUUCUCAAGAGCUCACUUGGGCAACCGGGACUGAGACUGUCUUCCACAUAUCAUUUCCCAUUGGUUCACACAGGAGUCUGUAGCUCCAAAGGGAUCAGGAGUGUGAACUUUUCCUCAUAAAGACUAAAGUAAAAGUGGAAGAAGCUAAAUGAAUUGAAAUAGAAUCCUAAAAACUGGGAGUAUUGUUGGAGAAGUACAAUUUAUCCAUGGGAUACAGAGACCAAACAGCAGAGAUUAACAGCCAAACACAAGCAGUACUAAUAAUUCCAGCUACAUGGGGAAUCAUGUAAAACCACAG